GUCUGAAUUGGAAUCUCGAUUUAUAAUCAUUUGUCAGCAGUGUGACUUUUGAGUCCUCCCGCCUCUCUGGUCCUCAGCCUUCAUCUGUAAGAGCAAAAUAGGAAGCAGCUUUAUCAGAGGACAUGGAAUAAUGUCUUUAAAGACCUUAACACAGCCUGGUACAUGAACAAAGGCCCAGCCUACCAUCAGCGUACAACAGGCUAGUGUUCACUGAGCUUCAGCCAAGUAGCCCUUAAUCGUACUUUCACCCUGCCCCAAAAAGCUGGAGAGGUGGGGACUCUUAGGAUUCCAUUUCACACAGGAGCCAAAUCUGUAGACCUUCUGUGAAGAGCAAAGUCACAGCAAUCCUAACUGUCUGCCUCCCCCCUCAACUCCAUGCGGGCCAUCACACCCAGGGGCCUCCCCAGUACUAGUUAUCUGCUGCGGGCACGAGGCCAUUUGCAGAGCUUAGCUCCCGUGAGUGGAGCCUCAGUAAGCGUGGGUGUGCAGGGUGAAGCCUCUCCUGAUGAACUCGAAGUCAACCCCUUGGGGACCUCAGUUGGCAGGUCUUCCCACAUUUGCCACAUGAACCUGAUCUUGGCGGUGGCAACCUAUGAGUUCCGAUGUCCCUGCAGUGCUCCUGGGAUGAGUGUCCCACAGGUGGAAGAAUUCACCUAGGGGAAAGUGUGUUCUUUCUGGAAAAAUCACGCUAGUGGAACUUCACUUCUAGAAUAAAGCCUGGCAGACAGGAAGUGAUAAGUUGAGUUGCUUGGAAAAGCAGUGGGGAAGCUCCGGAUGAUCAGACUCGACACCCCACUGUUGAAAAUCUUGUACCUUUCUACCAACGUGGGGCUAAUCCAGGUCUGGCCACUGAGGUCUCUCCAGCAUUGUUCAGAAGCACAGAAAAACAAAACAAA
Long non-coding RNA from Octodon degus (degu), 896 nucleotides. RefSeq lists it as uncharacterized. The record is from RefSeq and is a predicted model, not a curated record. NCBI's taxonomy places the organism in Eukaryota, Metazoa, Chordata, Mammalia, Rodentia, Octodontidae. The transcript is spliced from 4 exons.